GACAGAGGGUGCAAACGUUGUUCGGAAUUACUGGGCGUAAAGCGCGUGUCGGCUGCUUCGCAAGUCGGGUGUGAAAGCCCUGGGCUCAACCUAGGAAGUGCACUCGAAACUGCGAAGCUCGAGUCCUGGAGAGGAAGGCGGAAUUCUCGGUGUAGAGGUGAAAUUCGUAGAUAUCGAGAGGAACACCGGUGGCGAAGGCGGCCUUCUGGACAGUGACUGACGCUGAGACGCGAAAGCGUGGGGAGCAAACAGG
RNAcentral lists this ribosomal RNA (253 nucleotides) under uncultured bacterium. Its description in RNAcentral is "partial 16S ribosomal RNA". It matches the Rfam family "Bacterial small subunit ribosomal RNA", at positions 524 to 776 of the family's 1533-position model. The record is from RNAcentral.